AAAGGAAUUGACGGGACCCGCACAAGCGGUGGAUGAUGUGGUUUAAUUCGAUGCAACGCGAAAAACCUUACCCACCUUUGACAUGGCAGGAAUCCCGAAGAGAUUUGGGAGUGCUCGAAAGAGAACCUGCACACAGGUGCUGCAUGGCUGUCGUCAGCUCGUGUCGUGAGAUGUUGGGUUAAGUCCCGCAACGAGCGCAACCCUUGCCAUUAGUUGCUACGAAAGGGCACUCUAAUGGGACUGCCGGUGACAAACCGGAGGAAGGUGGGGAUGACGUCAAGUCCUCAUGGCCCUUAUAGGUGGGGCUACACACGUCAUACAAUGGCCGGUACAGAGGGUAGCCAACCCGCGAGGGGGAGCCAAUCCCACAAAGCCGGUCGUAGUCCGGAUCGCAGUCUGCAACUCGACUGCGUGAAGUCGGAAUCGCUAGUAAUCGCGGAUCAGCAUGUCGCGGUGAAUACGUUCCCGGGUCUU
RNAcentral lists this ribosomal RNA (474 nucleotides) under uncultured Allobrachymonas sp. RNAcentral describes it as "bacterial SSU rRNA". It matches the Rfam family "Bacterial small subunit ribosomal RNA", at positions 903 to 1382 of the family's 1533-position model. The record is from RNAcentral. Lineage: Bacteria; Pseudomonadati; Pseudomonadota; Betaproteobacteria; Burkholderiales; Comamonadaceae.